This 253-nucleotide ribosomal RNA is filed under the name uncultured bacterium. RNAcentral's name for it is "partial 16S ribosomal RNA". It matches the Rfam family "Bacterial small subunit ribosomal RNA", at positions 100 to 353 of the family's 1533-position model. The record is from RNAcentral.
GACGGGUGAGUAAUGUCUGGGAAACUGCCUGAUGGAGGGGGAUAACUACUGGAAACGGUAGCUAAUACCGCAUAACGUCGCAAGACCAAAGAGGGGGACCUUCGGGCCUCUUGCCAUCGGAUGUCCCGCCAGAUGGGAUUAGCUAGUAGGUGGGGUAACGGCUCACCUAGGCGACGAUCCCUAGCUGGUCUGAGAGGAUGACCAGCCACACUGGAACUGAGACACGGUCCAGACUCCUACGGGAGGCAGCAUG